RNAcentral lists this ribosomal RNA (440 nucleotides) under uncultured bacterium. RNAcentral describes it as "partial 16S ribosomal RNA". It matches the Rfam family "Bacterial small subunit ribosomal RNA", at positions 338 to 795 of the family's 1533-position model. The record is from RNAcentral.
CCUACGGGCGGCAGCAGUGGGGGAUAUUGCACAAUGGGGGGAGCCCUGAUGCGGCGACGCCGCGUGGGUGAAGAAGCGCCUCGGCGCGUAAAGCCCUGUCAGCAGGGAAGAAAAUGACGGUACCUGAAGAAGAAGCCCCGGCUAACUACGUGCCAGCAGCCGCGGUAAUACGUAGGGGGCAAGCGUUAUCCGGAUGUACUGGGUGGAAAGGGGGCGCAGACGGCGGUGCCAGCCAGGAGGGAAAGCCCGGGGCCCAACCCCGGGAAUGCUCUUGGAACUGCGUGGCUGGAGUGAAGGAGGGGCAGGCGGAAUUCCGUGUGUAGCGGUGAAAUGCGUAGAUAUAAGGAGGAACACCGGUGGCGAAGGCGGCCUGCUGGACUGCAACUGACGUUGAGGCCCGAAAGCGUGGGGAGCAAACAGGAUUAGAUACCCGAGUAGUC